RNAcentral lists this ribosomal RNA (158 nucleotides) under uncultured Methanomicrobiales archaeon. RNAcentral describes it as "partial 16S ribosomal RNA". It matches the Rfam family "Archaeal small subunit ribosomal RNA", at positions 1181 to 1338 of the family's 1478-position model. The record is from RNAcentral. Lineage: Archaea; Methanobacteriati; Methanobacteriota; Methanomicrobia; Methanomicrobiales.
CUACAAUGGGUGGGACAAUGGGUAUCGACACCGAAAGGUGAAGGCAAUCUCCUAAACCCAUCCGUAGUUCGGAUUGUGGGCUGCAACUCGCCCACAUGAAGCUGGAAUCUGUAGUAAUCGUGUCUCAAAAUGGCACGGUGAAUAUGUCCCUGCUCCUU